RNAcentral lists this unclassified non-coding RNA (19 nucleotides) under Candidatus Scalindua brodae. RNAcentral's name for it is "RNA (5'-R(P*UP*CP*CP*GP*GP*GP*GP*CP*AP*GP*AP*AP*AP*AP*UP*UP*GP*GP*A)-3') from Candidatus Scalindua brodae (PDB 8D9I, chain D)". The record is from RNAcentral. Lineage: Bacteria; Pseudomonadati; Planctomycetota; Candidatus Brocadiia; Candidatus Brocadiales; Candidatus Scalinduaceae.
UCCGGGGCAGAAAAUUGGA